This 927-nucleotide ribosomal RNA is filed under the name uncultured organism. Its description in RNAcentral is "bacterial SSU rRNA". It matches the Rfam family "Bacterial small subunit ribosomal RNA", at positions 551 to 1490 of the family's 1533-position model. The record is from RNAcentral.
UCACUGGGCGUGAAGCGCAUGCAGNCGGCCUGGUAAGUUUGGACGUGAAAGCCCCGUGCCUAACGCGGGGAGGUCGGACAAUACUGCCAAGCUAGAGUGCGUCAGAGGGGAGUGGAAUUUCCGGAGUAGCGGUAAAAUGCGCAGAUAUCGGAAGGAACACCAGUGGCGAAAGCGACUCCCUGGGGCGCGACUGACGCUAAGAGGCGAAAGCUAGGGGAGCGAACAGGAUUAGAGACCCUGGUAGUCCUAGCCCUAAACGAUGGAUGCUAGGUGUGGGACGUAAAGUUCCGUGCCGGAGCCAACGCGAUAAGCAUCCCGCCUGGGGACUACGGUCGCAAGGCUAAAACUCAAACGAAUUGACGGGGACCCGCACAAGCAGCGGAGCGUGUGGUUCAAUUCGAUGCUACACGAAGAACCUUACCUGGGUUUGACAUGUACGUGGUAGAGAAGCGAAAGCGGAUUGACCCUUCGGGGAGCGUACACAGGUGCUGCAUGGCUGUCGUCAGCUCGUGCCGUGAGGUGUCGGGUUAAGUCCCGUAACGAGCGCAACCCUUAUCCUUAGUUGCACGUAUCUAGGGAGACUGCCGGCGGGAAGCCGGAGGAAGGUGGGGAUGACGUCAAGUCAGCAUGGCCCUUAUGUCCAGGGCUACACACACGCUACAAUGGCCGGUACAAAGGGCAGCAGAGUCGCGAGGCGGAGCGAAUCCCAACAAAGCCGGUCGUAGUUCGGAUUGCAGGCUGCAACUCGCCUGCAUGAAGCUGGAGUUGCUAGUAACCGCGCGUCAGCUAUAGUGCGGUGAAUACGUACCCGGGUCUUGUACACACCGCCCGUCACGUCAUGGAAGUCGGUAACGCCUGAAGGCGGUAGCCUAGCUCGGAAGAGGGGGCGCUGUCGAAGGCGGGACUGGCAACUGGGACGAAGUCGUA